UACGUAGGGGGCAAGCGUUGUCCGGAUUUAUUGGGCGUAAAGAGCGUGUAGGCGGCCAGGUAGGUCUGCUGUGAAAACUCGAGGCUUAACCUCGAGCUGUCGGCGGAAACCAUCUGGCUAGAGUCCGGAAGAGGAGAAUGGAAUUCCCGGUGUAGCGGUGAAAUGCGCAGAUAUCAGGAGGAACACCGGUGGUGUAGACGGCUUUCUGGACCGUAACUGACGCUGAGACACGAAAGCGUGGGUAGCAAACAGG
RNAcentral lists this ribosomal RNA (253 nucleotides) under uncultured bacterium. Its description in RNAcentral is "partial 16S ribosomal RNA". It matches the Rfam family "Bacterial small subunit ribosomal RNA", at positions 524 to 776 of the family's 1533-position model. The record is from RNAcentral.